Molecule: ribosomal RNA, 551 nt
Filed under: uncultured bacterium
Lineage: Bacteria
Description: bacterial SSU rRNA
Rfam family: Bacterial small subunit ribosomal RNA
Source: RNAcentral
UAGGGAAUCUUCCACAAUGGACGCAAGUCUGAUGGAGCAACGCCGCGUGAGUGAAGAAGGGUUUCGGCUCGUAAAGCUCUGUUGGUAGUGAAGAAAGAUAGAGGUAGUAACUGGCCUUUAUUUGACGGUAAUUACUUAGAAAGUCACGGCUAACUACGUGCCAGCAGCCGCGGUAAUACGUAAGGUGGCAAGCGUUGUCGAUUUNUUGGGGGGCGUAAAGCGAGUGCAGGCGGUUCAAUAAGUCUGAUGUGAAAGCCUUCGGCUCAACCGGAGAAUUGCAUCAGAAACUGUUGAACUUGAGUGCAGAAGAGGAGAGUGGAACUCCAUGUGUAGCGGUGGAAUGCGUAGAUAUAUGGAAGAACACCAGUGGCGAAGGCGGCUCUCUGGUCUGCAACUGACGCUGAGGCUCGAAAGCAUGGGUAGCGAACAGGAUUAGAUACCCUGGUAGUCCAUGCCGUAAACGAUGAGUGCUAAGUGUUGGGAGGUUUCCGCCUCUCAGUGCUGCAGCUAACGCAUUAAGCACUCCGCCUGGGGAGUACGACCGCAAGGUU